Molecule: ribosomal RNA, 459 nt
Filed under: uncultured bacterium
Lineage: Bacteria
Description: partial 16S ribosomal RNA
Rfam family: Bacterial small subunit ribosomal RNA
Source: RNAcentral
CCUACGGGAGGCAGCAGUGAGGAAUAUUGGUCAAUGGGCGGGAGCCUGAACCAGCCAAGUCGCGUGAGGGAAGAAGGCCCUAAGUAUUGUAAACCUCUUUUGCCAGGGGACAAAGGCGGCCACGUGUGCCCGCCCGAGGGUUCCUGGAGGAAAAGCAUCCGCUAACUCCGUGCCAGCAGCCGCGGUAAUACGGAGGAUGCGAGCGUUAUCCGGAUUUUGUUGGUUUAAAGGGUGCGGAGGCGGGGUGUCAAGUCAGCGGUAAAAUGGCGGGGCUCAACCCCCGCCGGCCGUUGAAACUGGCGGUCUUGAGUGGGAGAGAAGUAUGCGGAAUGCGUGGUGUAGUGGUGAAAUGCAGAGAUAUCACGAAGAACCCCGAUUGCGAAGGCAGCAUACCGGCGCCACACUGACGCUGAGGCACGAAAGCGUGGGUAUCGAACAGGAUUAGAUACCCUGGUAGUC